GGGUCAGUAGGUUGGUCGUGCCACCGGUACGUACUGGUCUCACUGAUUCCUCCUUCCUGAAGAACCGUAAUGCCAUUAAUUUGGUGUUGCGGGGAAACAGGACUGUUACUUUGAAAAAAUUAGAGUGUUUAAAGCAAGCUAACGCUUGAAUACGUUAGCAUGGAAUAAUGAAAUAGGACGAUCGAUCCUAUUUUGUUGGUUUCUAGGAUUGACGUA
This 216-nucleotide ribosomal RNA is filed under the name Glomeromycotina sp. RNAcentral's name for it is "partial small subunit ribosomal RNA". The stretch from base 40 to 216 matches the Rfam family "Eukaryotic small subunit ribosomal RNA", at positions 686 to 864 of the family's 1831-position model. Lineage: Eukaryota; Fungi; Glomeromycota. The record is from RNAcentral.